AACUUUUGACAACGGAUCACUUGACUCUCACAUCGAUGAAGAACGCAGCGAAAUGCGAUAAGUAAUGUGAAUUGCAGAAUUCAGUGAAUCAUCGAAUCUUUGAACGCACCUUGCGCCCCUUGGCCAUCCCGAGGGGCAUGCCAGUUUGAGUAUCAUGAACACCUCAACUCUCAUGGCUUGCCAUGAUGAGCUUGGACUUGGGGGGUUUUGUUGGCCCCUGUGGUCAGCUCCUCUUAAAUGAAUCAGCUUGCUAGUGUUUGGCGGCAUUGUGGGUGUGAUAACUAUCUACGCCCAUGGUUGUUUGCCAGGUAACCUUCAGCAGUGGAGGUUCGCUGGGGCUUAUAAAUGUCUCUCCUCAGCAUGAGACAGCAUUUUGAACGUUCGAUCUCAGAUCAGGUAGGACUACCCGCUGAACUUAAGCAUAUCAAUAAGCGGAGGCU
RNAcentral lists this unclassified non-coding RNA (440 nucleotides) under uncultured Thelephoraceae. RNAcentral describes it as "sequence contains ITS2". The stretch from base 1 to 155 matches the Rfam family "5.8S ribosomal RNA". The record is from RNAcentral. Lineage: Eukaryota; Fungi; Basidiomycota; Agaricomycetes; Thelephorales; Thelephoraceae.